CCUACGGGAGGCAGCAGUGGGGAAUAUUGGGCAAUGGAGGCAACUCUGACCCAGCAAUGCCGCGUGAGUGAUGAAGGUAAUUUUAUUGUAAAGCUCUUUUCUCUGGAACGAAUAAAUGACGGUACCAAAGGAAUAAGCCCCUGCUUACUACGUGCCAUCAGCCCCGGUCAUACGUAGGUGGCAAGCUUUUUGCGGAAUGACUGGGCGUAAAGGGUCUGUUGUUGGUUUGAUAAGUUAGAUGUGUAAUACCCAGGGCUUAAAUCGGGUGCUGCAUCUCAAACCGUUAGACUUGAGUACUGGAGAGGUGAGCGGAAUUCCUAGUGUAGCGGUGGAAUGCGUAGAUAUUAGGAGGAACAGCAGGGGCGAAGGCGGCUAUCUGGACAGCAACUGACACUGAGGCACGAAAGCGUGGGGAGCAAACAGGAUUAGAUACCCUGGUAGUC
This 443-nucleotide ribosomal RNA is filed under the name uncultured bacterium. Its description in RNAcentral is "partial 16S ribosomal RNA". It matches the Rfam family "Bacterial small subunit ribosomal RNA", at positions 338 to 795 of the family's 1533-position model. The record is from RNAcentral.